Molecule: ribosomal RNA, 466 nt
Filed under: uncultured bacterium
Lineage: Bacteria
Description: partial 16S ribosomal RNA
Rfam family: Bacterial small subunit ribosomal RNA
Source: RNAcentral
GACGAACGCUGGCGGCGUGCUUAACACAUGCAAGUCGAACGGAAAGGCCCUGCUUGCAGGGUACUCGAGUGGCGAACGGGUGAGUAACACGUGGGUGAUCUGCCCUGCACUUCGGGAUAAGCUUGGGAAACUGGGUCUAAUACCGAAUAGGAGCCAUCUUUAGUGUGGUGGUUGGAAAGUUUUUUCGGUGUAGGAUGAGCUCGCGGCCUAUCAGCUUGUUGGUGGGGUAAUGGCCUACCAAGGCGGCGACGGGUAGCCGGCCUGAGAGGGUGUACGGCCACAUUGGGACUGAGAUACGGCCCAGACUCCUACGGGAGGCAGCAGUGGGGAAUAUUGCACAAUGGGCGCAAGCCUGAUGCAGCGACGCCGCGUGGGGGAUGAAGGCCUUCGGGUUGUAAACUCCUUUCGCUAGGGACGAAGCUUUGUUGUGACGGUACCUAGAUAAGAAGCACCGGCUAACUACGUG